Acanthochromis polyacanthus (spiny chromis) is the source of this 525-nucleotide long non-coding RNA. RefSeq lists it as uncharacterized. The record is from RefSeq and is a predicted model, not a curated record. NCBI's taxonomy places the organism in Eukaryota, Metazoa, Chordata, Actinopteri, Pomacentridae. The transcript is spliced from 3 exons.
ACACACACACACACACACACACACACACACACACACACACACACACACACACACACACACACACACACAUUUAUGAACCUGGUUUCAGUUCCUGUGUUUGACCACCAGGUGUCGCUCUACAGCUAUAUAGUGUUAUUACACCUGGUACUCAGACUAAACAUCUGGUCUGCUUCUAAAGGUUCUGUUCUGGUUCUAAAGGCUCUGGUACUCACACUGAGGAUCUGGUCUGGUUCUAAAGGUUCUGGUACUCACACUGAGGAUCUGGUCUGGUUCUAAAGGUUCUAAAGGUUCUGGUACUCACACUGAGGAUCUGGUCUGGUUCUAAAGGUUCUGGUACUCACACUGAGGAUCUGGUCUGGUUCUAAAGGUUCUGGUACUCACACUGAGGAUCUGGUCUGGUUCUAAAGGUUCUAAAGGUUCUGGUACUCACACUGAGGAUCUGUUCUGGUCCUAAAGGUUCUAAAGGUUCUGGUACUCACACUGAGGAUCUGGUCCCCCUUGCGGAGCUCCCCGCUCAGGUCUGCU